Molecule: ribosomal RNA, 412 nt
Filed under: uncultured Sporichthyaceae bacterium
Lineage: Bacteria; Bacillati; Actinomycetota; Actinomycetes; Sporichthyales; Sporichthyaceae
Description: bacterial SSU rRNA
Rfam family: Bacterial small subunit ribosomal RNA
Source: RNAcentral
UGUCAGCAGCCGCGGUAAUACAUAGGGUGCAAGCGUUGUCCGGAAUUAUUGGGCGUAAAGAGCUCGUAGGUGGCUCGUCACGUCGAAUGUGAAACCCUGAGGCUCAACCUCAGGCCUGCAUCCGAUACGGGCGAACUGGAGUGUGGUAGGGGAGACUGGAAUUCCUGGUGUAGCGGUGGAAUGCGCAGAUAUCAGGAGGAACACCAAUGGCGAAGGCAGGUCUCUGGGCCACUACUGACACUGAGGAGCGAAAGCGUGGGGAGCAAACAGGAUUAGAUACCCUGGUAGUCCACGCUGUAAACGGUGGGCACUAGUUGUGGGAACCUUCCACGGUUUCUGCGACGCAGCUAACGCAUUAAGUGCCCCGCCUGGGGAGUACGAUCGCAAGAUUAAAACUCAAAGGAAUUGGCGG